This is a long non-coding RNA of Dromaius novaehollandiae (emu), 695 nucleotides long. RefSeq lists it as uncharacterized. The transcript has 3 exons. The record is from RefSeq and is a predicted model, not a curated record. Lineage: Eukaryota; Metazoa; Chordata; Aves; Casuariiformes; Dromaiidae.
AUACUGAAGGUUGUUUUUACAUUUUAUCUUUAUACUUCAGGAGGCCUCAGUCUCUAUCUAGAAUGAGCAACUUGAUGAGGUAACUUGUGAAGAUGAAAGUGGUCAGUGCUGCCUAUGAUGAGCACCGAACUGGAAGAACCCUGUGGUGAAACAUAUGUCAGAAGAGAAGAAGGUAUGAGAAGCUGGCCUCCUCUGCAGAUGAGAAGAUUAAUUAAGAGGAAAAUCGCUUAGCCAGAUGUCUCAUUGGUGAAACUACACGUGCAAGGUUUAUUUGAACUUGCAAAAAAGACCGAAGGGAAAAUAGAAAUUGCUGGCAAGAAUUGCAGAGAUCUUGUUCACUGUACCAUUUCUGCUGGAUCAGCCUGCCUCAUUCACAGCUUGGAAGACAUCGUCAGUGUCAACAUCCAUACAGACCAAAUAUUCUUACAGCAAUCAUUGGAUCAAACCCUGAACCGCAGGCAGCUCCCAGCAAUCCUGCCUGUACUUUCUGCCUUCAUUACUGAUACCAUGGUAUGAUAAAUAAUUCUGCUAUUGGCAGUUUGUUUACUAAAACUACUGCCUUUGAAUUAAAACAGGAAAAAUUAUAUACCCAAGUCUUAUAAUAGAUAUGGAGCCACAUCCUGCUACUGCAGCACUGAAAACCCAGAGUUUUUCCAUUGACUUUUCUCAGUUUAUCGAAUCAGAAUCCAUUCCCU